RNAcentral lists this small RNA (2648 nucleotides) under Pan troglodytes (chimpanzee). Its description in RNAcentral is "processed transcript". The record is from RNAcentral. Lineage: Eukaryota; Metazoa; Chordata; Mammalia; Primates; Hominidae.
GGGUAGGUAAAGAAGAGGCAUGGAGGUGAAUGCAGGCAGCAGCUUUCAGGGAAGAAGAAGCAUCAGGCUGCAGACCUUGCCUCCCCCCUGCCCUGAUGGCAGGACUGAGGCCUCCCAGGGAUGAAGAAACUGAGGCUGAGGCAGUUCAACAACUUGCCCAAGGCCACGCAGCAGGUAAACACAGCAACAAAAAAGUUAUGAGAACCAAGAGCUCUGAGAAGGCUGCCAACGAUUAUCACAGUGUCCGUGUGGCCCAUGAAGAUGUCAGAGAGAGUUGCCCACCUCUUGGUCUGGAAACCUUAAAAAUCACAGACUUCCAGCUCCAUGCCUCCACGGUGAAGCGCUAUGGCCUGGGUGCACAUCGAGGGAGACUCAACAUCCAGGCGGGCAUUAAUGAAAAUGAUUUUUAUGACGGAGCGUGGUGCGCGGGAAGAAAUGACCUCCAGCAGUGGAUUGAAGUGGAUGCUCGGCGCCUGACCAGAUUCACUGGUGUCAUCACUCAAGGGAGGAACUCCCUCUGGCUGAGUGACUGGGUGACAUCCUAUAAGGUCAUGGUGAGCAAUGACAGCCACACGUGGGUCACUGUUAAGAAUGGAUCUGGAGACAUGAUAUUUGAGGGAAACAGUGAGAAGGAGAUCCCUGUUCUCAAUGAGCUACCCGUCCCCAUGGUGGCCCGCUACAUCCGCAUAAACCCUCAGUCCUGGUUUGAUAACGGGAGCAUCUGCAUGAGAAUGGAGAUCCUGGGCUGCCCACUGCCAGAUCCUAAUAACUAUUAUCACCGCCAGAACGAGAUGACCACCACUGAUGACCUGGAUUUUAAGCACCACAACUAUAAGGAAAUGCGCCAGUUGAUGAAAGUUGUGAAUGAAAUGUGUCCCAAUAUCACCAGAAUUUACAACAUUGGAAAAAGCUACCAGGGCCUGAAACUGUAUGCUGUGGAGAUCUCAGAUCACCCUGGGGAGCAUGAAGUUGGGUCUCAUUCCGUCUCCCAGGCUGGAGUACAGUGGCACAAUCUUGGCUCAUUACAACCUCCACCUUUUGGGCUCAAGCAAUCCUCCCACCUCAGCCUCCUGAGCAGCUGGGAUUACAGGUGAGCCCGAGUUCCACUACAUCGCGGGGGCCCACGGCAAUGAGGUGCUGGGCCGGGAGCUGCUGCUGCUGCUGGUGCAGUUCGUGUGUCAGGAGUACUUGGCCCGGAAUGCGCGCAUCGUCCACCUGGUGGAGGAGACGCGGAUUCACGUCCUCCCCUCCCUCAACCCCGAUGGCUACGAGAAGGCCUACGAAGGGGUAAUGGCCCUGGCCCAUCUCACCCAAUAGGACAUGGGCAGCGAGGCCCCAGCUCCAGAGGCUCGGAGCUGGGAGGCUGGUCCCUGGGACGCUGGACCCACGAUGGAAUUGACAUCAACAACAACUUUCCUGAUUUAAACACGCUGCUCUGGGAGGCAGAGGAUCGACAGAAUGUCCCCAGGAAAGUUCCCAAUCACUAUAUUGCAAUCCCUGAGUGGUUUCUGUCGGAAAAUGCCACGGUGGCUGCCGAGACCAGAGCAGUCAUAGCCUGGAUGGAAAAAAUCCCUUUUGUGCUGGGCGGCAACCUGCAGGGCGGCGAGCUGGUGGUGGCGUACCCCUACGACCUGGUGCGGUCCCCCUGGAAGACGCAGGAACACACCCCCACCCCCGACGACCACGUGUUCCGCUGGCUGGCCUACUCCUAUGCCUCCACACACCGCCUCAUGACGGACGCCCGGAGGAGGGUGUGCCACACGGAGGACUUCCAGAAGGAGGAGGGCACUGUCAAUGGGGCCUCCUGGCACACCGUCGCUGGAAGUCUGAACGAUUUCAGCUACCUUCAUACAAACUGCUUCGAACUGUCCAUCUACGUGGGCUGUGAUAAAUACCCACAUGAGAGCCAGCUGCCCGAGGAGUGGGAGAAUAACCGGGAAUCUCUGAUCGUGUUCAUGGAGCAGGUUCAUCGUGGCAUUAAAGGCUUGGUGAGAGAUUCACAUGGAAAAGGAAUCGCAAACGCCAUUAUCUCAGUAGAAGGCAUUAACCAUGACAUCCGAACAGGCGGAGUUUCCCUGCAGAAGCUUUCUCUUGCCUGCCACCGUGUGAGAUGUGCUUUUGCUCUUUCUUCAUCUUCCACCAUGAUUGUGAGGCCUCCCCAGCCAUAUGGAACUGUGCCUCACUCUAGUCCUGACCCUGUUACCACCAAAGUAUCCCCACUGAGGAACUUCUAGUGAAUAUAUUUCAAGAAGAAGGGAACUAACCCCAGGAAGAAGACUGAAAGCUUCAUGAGGGUAAACUGAGACUCUUCGCUAUUGAAAUUCUAUUGCCAGGCGCAUCCCCCAGCCCACAGUGAAUGGAAUUGGAUUAUUCUGAAGCACAAUCAUUAUUCCAAGUACAUGGUUUCUGUAAUGGGAUAAUUGGCUGACCCUGGUCCUAGACAACACCUGAAGUUUAAUUUCUCUGAAAGGCUCUGCCUUGAGCUUGCUUUAAAACCUGCGAUUAUAAGGAGACACCUAAUGAGACCAGGAGGGAACUUCUACACCGCACAGCUAUUUUUAAAAAAUGGGAUUAACAGGGGAAAAUGUCAAACAGGGGGAUCUCCAUGUUUCUGCAAUGCAUGACAGGUUACCCAGCGUUCCAAAUAA